UGUAAAAUGUUUGGUUUAGCA
Molecule: unclassified non-coding RNA, 21 nt
Filed under: Dictyostelium discoideum
Lineage: Eukaryota; Evosea; Eumycetozoa; Dictyosteliales; Dictyosteliaceae
Source: RNAcentral